RNAcentral lists this long non-coding RNA (206 nucleotides) under Lathyrus oleraceus (garden pea). RNAcentral describes it as "Pisum sativum (pea) long non-coding RNA (PSAT_LNC005456)". The record is from RNAcentral. Lineage: Eukaryota; Viridiplantae; Streptophyta; Magnoliopsida; Fabales; Fabaceae.
UUUUAUUUUUCCAUAUUUUAUUUCACUAAUUUUUUACUUUUUUUAUGAAUUUUCUCUUUUCUCCUUUGUUUUUAUUGGUUUAAAAAUACUUUUCUAUAUUUUAAAAUUCUGAAAAAAAAUUAUUAUAUACUUCGUGUUUUAUUUUCAAUCUUCCAUAAUUUUCUUGACCAUUUAUUUGGUGUUAUGAAGGACUGUAUGGAUUUUCC